This 287-nucleotide long non-coding RNA is filed under the name Manihot esculenta (cassava). Its description in RNAcentral is "long non-coding RNA (MESC_LNC007741)". Lineage: Eukaryota; Viridiplantae; Streptophyta; Magnoliopsida; Malpighiales; Euphorbiaceae. The record is from RNAcentral.
CCACAAGCAACUUUCAUAAACUAACAAUAAUUUUCAAAGAAAAGAGUUUUUUUUUUUUUCUUUUUUUUUUUUACCUGUACUCAUCGUCGAGAUCAGGGACUUGAGCGAUGUUUGACUCAGGGAGGUGGCGGAGGAAGAAGGUGCUCUCCCAGUCCAAGUCCUUGAUCUCAGUUUGGACACCCUCAAGGCCUUUGCUUGCCACCAUUUCCUUGAACCUCUGCUCCAUGCAUUUUUUAUAGUGACCCUUUGUCUUUCUUUCUACUUCAUCCAAUAACUCAGGUUCUAUU